CGAACCCGCGACCUUGGCGUUAUUAGCACCACGCUCUAACCAACUGAGCUAACCGGCCACUCGAUGGCGUUUGUCGCCUCUGCGGUAGAUAAGGGCAUAGUAGCCCUACUACGCCACAGUGAAGACAACAGCCGAGACGGGGAACCUCCUCGCCCCCAGGAGCGCCGCAGCCGGGCCCGCGCAAGCGGGAACACACGCUAAACUCUUCAGCCAAACCACAAAGCAGUCUGCGCUCCUCUUAUGGAGAUGCAGCGCCUGGGAGGAUACCAGUUGGUAGGAUAGGAGAAGGAGCAUUUUCUGAUGUCCUGCAGACACUGAGUCUUAGGAAUGGAAAGUACUAUGCAUGUAAACACAUGAAGCAACAUUUUGAAAGGGUUCAUGAGGCAGUAAUCCGGUCUGGCCUGGCACUCUCUUCACCCUAUGGCAGUUUUCUUGGACCUGAUGAGCUGGACCAAAUUUCAAAAAUCCACAUUAUAGGCACUCUUGCUAAAACAACUCUCAAGAAGUUCAAGCAACUUUUUAGGGCAGCUGAUACACAAGCUUUGACCGUGCACAAAAAACUAAGAUUAUUAAGAAAUACAUAA
This is a long non-coding RNA of Manacus vitellinus (golden-collared manakin), 584 nucleotides long. NCBI's taxonomy places the organism in Eukaryota, Metazoa, Chordata, Aves, Passeriformes, Pipridae. The record is from Ensembl.